AACGAACGCUGGCGGCAUGCCUAACACAUGCAAGUCGAACGAAGGCUUCGGCCUUAGUGGCGCACGGGUGCGUAACGCGUGGGAAUCUGCCCUUUGGUUCGGAAUAACAGCUGGAAACGGCUGCUAAUACCGGAUGAUGACUAAAGUCCAAAGAUUUAUCGCCAGAGGAUGAGCCCGCGUUGGAUUAGGUAGUUGGUGGGGUAAAGGCCUACCAAGCCGACGAUCCAUAGCUGGUCUGAGAGGAUGAUCAGCCACACUGGGACUGAGACACGGCCCAGACUCCUACGGGAGGGAGCAGUGGGGAAUAUUGGACAAUGGGCGCAAGCCUGAUCCAGCAAUGCCGCGUGAGUGAUGCAGGCGCUAGGGUUGUAAAGCCCUUUUACACGGGAAGAUAAUGACUGUACCGGGAGAAUAAGCCCCGGCUAACUCCGUG
RNAcentral lists this ribosomal RNA (433 nucleotides) under uncultured bacterium. Its description in RNAcentral is "partial 16S ribosomal RNA". It matches the Rfam family "Bacterial small subunit ribosomal RNA", at positions 29 to 507 of the family's 1533-position model. The record is from RNAcentral.